RNAcentral lists this long non-coding RNA (201 nucleotides) under Vitis vinifera (wine grape). Its description in RNAcentral is "long non-coding RNA (VVIN_LNC004230)". The record is from RNAcentral. Lineage: Eukaryota; Viridiplantae; Streptophyta; Magnoliopsida; Vitales; Vitaceae.
ACAAGCAUCCUAUAUUCUGCAAAAUGUGAUGAAAUUCUGGGGCGUUGACAUUCAUCAAUUAUGACAGCUUCCCAUUUUGAUUCAUAUUUCCAUUCACUCUAUCAUUGACAUUGAAAAUUGGGUGUGUAAUCUUUACUCUAGUCAAGGGCUUCCCUAGCUUGUCGAGUGAAUGCUUAGUGGCUCCCCUGCUGUUGUGGAUUU